Molecule: ribosomal RNA, 258 nt
Filed under: uncultured bacterium
Lineage: Bacteria
Description: partial 16S ribosomal RNA
Rfam family: Bacterial small subunit ribosomal RNA
Source: RNAcentral
GUCCACGCCGUAACGUUGGCGCUAGAUGUGGGCCACAUUCCACGUGGUCCGUGUCGCAGCUAACGCAUUAAGCGCCCGCCUGGGAGUACGGCCGCAAGGCUAAACUCAAAGGAAUUGACGGGGCCCGCACAAGCGGCGGAGCAUGCGGAUUAAUUCGAUGCAACGCGAAGAACCUUACCAAGGCUUGACAUAUAGAGGAAAAGUUCAGAAAUGUUCUCCCUAGCAAUAGUCUCUAUACAGGUGGUGCAUGGUUGUCGU